GUCGUUCGUUUUUCAAACACGUUGAACAGGGAAGGGUUAUCCUAACACGUUUCAACUUCCGGGCAGCUUUGACACUGUUAAACAAGAGACAGUGUUUACUGUCAGUUUAGUAAAAACCUAACAUUGUUAGUUAAAAUAUCAUUGUAUAGAUAUAGGAAGAUAUGGUAUAGUUUAGUUUUGAAACUUAACUGUGAAAAAUACAUUAUUCAGUUAUUUAUUUUGUUUUGAUUUGUGGGUGAAGUACCUUGAUAUCGC
Molecule: long non-coding RNA, 255 nt
Filed under: Mytilus galloprovincialis (Mediterranean mussel)
Lineage: Eukaryota; Metazoa; Mollusca; Bivalvia; Mytilida; Mytilidae
Source: RNAcentral